This 440-nucleotide ribosomal RNA is filed under the name uncultured bacterium. RNAcentral's name for it is "partial 16S ribosomal RNA". It matches the Rfam family "Bacterial small subunit ribosomal RNA", at positions 338 to 795 of the family's 1533-position model. The record is from RNAcentral.
CCUACGGGUGGCAGCAGUGGGGAAUAUUGGACAAUGGGCGAAAGCCUGAUCCAGCAAUGCCGCGUGAGUGAUGAAGGCCUUAGGGUUGUAAAGCUCUUUUAGCAGGGAUGAUAAUGACAGUAUCUGGAGAAUAAGCCCCGGCUAACUCCGUGCCAGCAGCCGCGGUAUUACGGAGGGCGCUAGCGUUGUUCGGAAUUACUGGGCGUAAAGCGCACGUAGGCGGUUUUUCAAGUCAGGGGUGAAAGCCCGGGGCUCAACUCCGGAAUUGCCCUUGAAACUGGAUGACUAGAAUCUUGGAGAGGUCAGUGGAAUUCCGAGUGUAGAGGUGAAAUGCGUAGAUAUUCGGAAGAACACCAGUGGCGAAGGCGACUGACUGGACAAGUAUUGACGCUGAGGUGCGAAAGCGUGGGGAGCAAACAGGAUUAGAUACCCGUGUAGUC